CUUUGACAGAUGCUAGCGUGAGAACAGCAGAUAAAAGAAGAAAAAGCUCAGAAUUUGGAGCAAAGUUUUUUAAUAUCUCUAUUUUUGAUUGUUUUACUUAAAGACUCUCUCGCAGAUACACCAGACAGUGAAGGCAGUCCGGCCCAGACCAGCAGAGGGACCCUGCACCCUUUCAAGUCAGGCGACUGGUUGCUGGUGAAAGAUAUCAGAAGGAAACACUCGAAGGCAAAACGCUGGUUGGGCCCAUUCCAAGUCCUACUAACCACUCAGACAGCAGUGAAGGUCGCGGCAAGUGGAUCCACAUCAUUGUAAGCUCUUCACAGGGGGAAUCGCCUGUGACACAGAAAGAACAACCAGACAAAACACACGGGGCAGAAUAAUCCCCGCACCUCAUCCAGGCAGUAGGCAGUCUACCCUCUACCUGCAACGAUGUGCCGAACCGAGAAGCAGCUCAUUGUCAGGGUAGCCCUUGUGCUGAUGGUUGCCUUGUGGUCGAGCAUCUGGGGAGACCUGCAGCUGAACACCAUGCCAAGCCCCAGGGAUGUCUGUACAAUAGGAGGAACUGCCAACGAGCAGAGAGACAAAUGUCUGACUAAGCUACCAAGGGGACGGCCCGAACCUGGAGACUGAAGCUGGUGCGGUAGCUGGGACGAUGUGUGGUCUCACUCGCAACCAAGUUAUUGGGGCCCAAACGAGGUACGUAAUCUGAAGGAGACUGCAGCGCUUUUCUCGUUAAAGAGAGGCCGAGUUGGGACUGGGACCAGAUCCAACCCCUUGUUAUUGACCAUAAAUGGUCUGAAACAAAAUCCCUGGUCUAUCGCAUAUUCACAACGAUGUUAUGAUCCAUCUGAAGACUCAUUUUACAUGAUUAUCGGAGUAGACCAGGCAGGCACAGAUAGCAUGGGGAUAAUUAAGGUAGUUCUUCACUCUAAGGCGGGAACUGUCGGUUGGUGGUUACAUUCCGGUCAACGCAC
This is a long non-coding RNA of Oreochromis aureus, 974 nucleotides long. RefSeq lists it as uncharacterized. Lineage: Eukaryota; Metazoa; Chordata; Actinopteri; Cichliformes; Cichlidae. The record is from RefSeq and is a predicted model, not a curated record. The transcript has 3 exons.